UUCUCUUCGGAGCAUCGGUGACAGGUGGUGCAUGGUUGUCGUCAGCUCGUGUCGUGAGAUGUUGGGUUAAGUCCCGCAACGAGCGCAACCCUUAUCCUUAGUAGCCAUCAUUGAGUUGGGCACUUUAGAGAGACUGCCGUGGAUAACACGGAGGAAGGUGGGGAAGACGUCAAAUCAUCAUGCCCCUUAUGUCUCGGGCUACCCACGUGCUUCAAUGGCUGGUAACAAAGUGAAGCGAGACGGCGACGUUAAGCAAAUCACAAAAACCCAGUCCCAGUUCGGAUUGUAGUCUGCAACUCGACUACAUGAAGUCUGGAAUCGCUAGUA
RNAcentral lists this ribosomal RNA (327 nucleotides) under bacterium enrichment culture DGGE band A8. Its description in RNAcentral is "bacterial SSU rRNA". It matches the Rfam family "Bacterial small subunit ribosomal RNA", at positions 1014 to 1340 of the family's 1533-position model. The record is from RNAcentral.